GGAUCAGACAUGCAAGUCGAACGAGGUUAGUCUGGUAGCAAUACUGGGCUGACCUAGUGGCGAACGGGUGCGUAACACGUGACCAACCUGCCUGAAAGUGGGGGAUAGCUCGGCGAAAGCCGGAUUAAUACCGCAUGUGAUCGCAAGAUUAAAGCAGCAAUGCGCUUUUAGAGGGGGUCGCGGCCUAUCAGCUAGUUGGUGAGGUAAAGGCUUACCAAGGCAGCGACGGGUAGCUGGUCUGAGAGGACGACCAGCCACACUGGAACUGAGACACGGUCCAGACACCUACGGGUGGCAGCAGUCGAGAAUUUUUCUCAAUGGGGGAAACCCUGAAGGAGCGACGCCGCGUGGAGGAUGAAGGCUUUCGGGUUGUAAACUCCUGUCAUCUGGGAACAAAACUCGCAAGAGCUUGAUAGUACCAGAAGAGGAAGAGACGGCUAUCUCUGUGCCAGCAGCCGCGGUAAUACAGAGGUC
This 474-nucleotide ribosomal RNA is filed under the name uncultured bacterium. RNAcentral describes it as "bacterial SSU rRNA". It matches the Rfam family "Bacterial small subunit ribosomal RNA", at positions 46 to 533 of the family's 1533-position model. The record is from RNAcentral.